ACUAUAGAAUCCUAUAGAAUUGUUAGGAAAGUCCUUAGAAGAAUCUAGCUGUCUAGAAUAUUCUAGAGAAGGGACUUAGUUGUAAAUAUAGAAGGACUUGUAGAACAAUUAUUAUUUACAUACUAGCCCCUAGGUGAUUAGUAUAAAUAGCGGGCAUUCAUUUGUAAUUUAUCAACCAAACAAAACAAUCAAGUUCUCUCUAAUACAAAAACUUCCUUUGGCAAUUCUCUUGUGCUCUAACAUUCUCUUAGCGAUCUUGAGUGCAGUAAGACUGACUUGACAUAGCAAGAACGUGAGCAGGAUGUGCAAGAUCGUGAGCGAGUUGUCAAGUGCUGCAGGUGCGCUUAGUUUAAGGCUAAGAACGUGACAUAUGGUUAAGUAUUUCGCAAUUCAAAAUAUUGAGGGCAGUUGGGUUUGCAUGGUAGGCUAAACGGCAAUAGAUACUAUUUUCAUAAAAAUAACUGAUAAGUAAUACUUUCUCAGUUUAAUUUUACUUGUCCAGUAUUCUAAAAAUAGAUUUUCACUUUUACUUGUCACUUUUAGCAUAUCUUUUUUCCUGUUAUAUCCAUAAAUUACUCAUUUCAGAUCAUUUCUCAAAUUCAUUAAAAGUAUGUAUCAAUUAAUACAGGUAUCAUGGUAAAUUAUGCAAUUUAUUUAUUAAUUUUUAAGAGGUGUGCAAAGUCCAUAGUGAACUAGUAAAAGUGAAUGGAGGGAGUAAGUAGAUAAAUAAAAAUGCAAAUUGAUAUGAAAAUAUUAGAACAAAUGUCGUUUUAUAAUUAAAAAAAUUAUUUGAAUAUGCUUAAAGGAAAGUAAUAUUUUACUGUCUAAAGUUGAUAAACUAAAUUAAUAAAAUAUGCAGUGAAAAUUACAAUGUCACGAGCUAACAGAGAAAAAAUAUAAGGUAAUAAUACUUGUAAAAGUAAUUGGAGAUACUAUAAAUAUUAUUAUAACUUUUAAAUAAAAUAGUAGCUUAAUGCGAUAAAUUCGGGUGUAUAAGGACAAAAUUACGUGCCAACAUGGAUUACCUCAUUUUAUUUCAUUUUCGAGACUUAGACUUCACUAGAGUUGAUUUUGGAUAGCAAUUUCUUUCCAACUUCAAGAGUUAGUAAGUUUAACUUGUUUUUGAUUAAUUUUCAUCAUUUUUCAUAGAUUUUAUAUAUCUAGAUUUUUAUAGAGUAGAAAUAAGAUUUUUGGGUAGAAACCUAAGGUUUAUUAUUUUGGAGAUUUAAACCUUGAUUUGAGGUCGGAUCUCGAAUCAAAAUACAUAUUUGCACCCGGGGGUGAAUGAGUAAUUAGGAUUUGAUCUUGAUUUCGGAUUUCGAUCAAGUGGUCGGGAUUGAGUUUUGUUGACUUUUUCAAAUAUGUUAAAGAUCGAAACAUUUUGAUACUAGGGUAAUUUUUAAGGCUUGUUUUGACUUAUUUUGAACAUUAAUUGGCUAGAUUCGAAUGGUUUGGAGGCUUGUGCUAAAAGAAAAGCGAUAUUAGAGGAUUGAUGUGUGCCGGAAAGAGGUAAGUGUCUUGGUUAACCUUAGUUUGAGGAAAUUAGGAUGUAAAUGGGUCUAUUUGCUAUGUGUUAUAUAUAUAUUGGGAGGCGUAUGUGCAAGUUGACGAAUGUAUAUGUGUUUGCUAUGGUUAAGCAUGCGGGUAGAACUAAAUUUAUUUAUAUCUUUUUUUCUUCUUAUAUAUUAUGUCUUCUGUGCUCUAAUUAGAUGGUGAAUCUCUUUAACUGUUCCUAUUCAUGUUAAUAUCUAUGUUGAGCUUGUUGUGAUAUUGGGCAUUAAGACUAUUGGAAUGAUGGUUUGGAUAUUGGUGCAAAGUGAUGAUUAUUUUUCCAUAUAUUAUGUUAUGUUCAAUCACUCUUCUUGAUAUUGCUUGUGCUUCUACCUUUGCUUGGUACUGUUUUCAUGUUUAUGCUUGGUGAGGAAGAGUAAUUGCAUGAUGGGUACAUCAGUGCUAUGAGAAUGAGUGACGAUGCACGUUGGGUAUUUUCGUGCUGUGAGAUUGAGAGAUAUUGCAUGCAAGUAUUUUCAUACAACGAGAAUAAGUGAUAUAUGCAUGAUGGAUAUUUCCGUGCGGUAAGAACGAGUGAUAUAUGCAUGAGGUGUGUGUCAAUGCUAUUGAAUUAUGAACUCAUUUAUAUGGUAUCAUGAUAAUUAGCUUGUUCUUUUGGAUUUGAACUGUGGAGACAAGUUUGGCUGUGACUUUUGCGGACCAUGUUGAUUAUUUCCUUUAGUUGAUCAUUUUAUUGUUUUCUUGCAAUUUCUAUUAUUAUCUCUUUUAAUAUUGUUUUAAAUGUUAUUUUUCUUAUUUGUUCUCUUGCUUAUUUACUGUAGAGGUUUAUAUGUAGGUGUCUUGUCUUAUCCUCGUCAUUACUUCGUCGGAUUUAGGCUCGACACUUACGGAGUAUAUUGGGUCGUUUGUACUCAUAUUGUACUUCUGCAUUUCUUGUGCAAAUUUUGGCAUCGGACCUAGUGGUACUCAGAGGACAGACUAGCUUGCUUUACUAAGGAAACUCAAGGUAGUGUUGCAUUCUUGUAUGCGGGCCAUAAAGUCCUCUUAUUUAGUUCUGUUACUGUUAAUCAUUUUAAAUGGUGUAUUUAUUAUUUUAGAUGCUGUAUUUAGUAAUCCUACAGAAGCGCAUGUACUCCAUGAUACUAGUUUUCGAGGUAUCUAGACGAAUGUUUGGUUUUAGUCUUAUUAUACAUUACUGAGUUUUAUCCUUUAUUAUAAUAUCACGU
This 2738-nucleotide long non-coding RNA is filed under the name Nicotiana tabacum (common tobacco). RNAcentral's name for it is "long non-coding RNA (NTAB_LNC000568)". Lineage: Eukaryota; Viridiplantae; Streptophyta; Magnoliopsida; Solanales; Solanaceae. The record is from RNAcentral.